ACAAGAGGGCCGAGGACAUAACAGUAGUAGACUGUUCACGGGCAUGUGUGAGUCCUGAAGUCAGUCUCUGAGCACACACACACCCUUCAGGGGCUCGUGUGGUUCAGACUACACACCAUCAGAUCCCUAAGCAGGCAGGAAGGGUCCUUAUCUACAGAAGCUUGGCUGCUCCAAGAGAUUCUCUGUAACAAACAGCAGAGUGAGGAAGAGUGGGGAGGUGUCCAGAAAGGGAAUGGAGGCACACAAACCAAGAGCCCUGUGCACUGCCAGAAGCACGUUCAGAAGCAGCGCUGGUCACGAUCUGACCCAGUCCAGCAUCACAUACACAGAGAAACUGUCAGUUUCAGGACAUCCAAGAGCAAGAGUGUGGAAACUGCCCUGUUGGACGCUCAGGAGGCUUUGAAUGGUACCCAACACCCGAGGCAAAUUGUACAGGCUGUUAGCCGACUUUACAAAGUGGGACUGUAUCUUGAAACUUAAAAACAAAAAAAAAACAAAAACAAAUGGAGAAAACCGAUCUGGUCUGUUUCUACAUUAGUUUGAAAAAACAAAACAAACAAACAAACAAAAAAAAAAACCCUAACCAAAAAAAAAAA
RNAcentral lists this long non-coding RNA (596 nucleotides) under Rattus norvegicus (Norway rat). Its description in RNAcentral is "long non-coding RNA NONRATT020626". The record is from RNAcentral. Lineage: Eukaryota; Metazoa; Chordata; Mammalia; Rodentia; Muridae.